This 301-nucleotide ribosomal RNA is filed under the name uncultured bacterium. RNAcentral describes it as "partial 16S ribosomal RNA". It matches the Rfam family "Bacterial small subunit ribosomal RNA", at positions 509 to 807 of the family's 1533-position model. The record is from RNAcentral.
CAGCAGCCGCGGUAAUACGAAGGGGGCUAGCGUUGCUCGGAAUUACUGGGCGUAAAGGGAGCGUAGGCGGAUGCUUAAGUCAGAGGUGAAAGCCCAGGGCUCAACCUUGGAACUGCCUUUGAUACUGGACAUCUUGAGUGUGGGAGAGGUAAGCGGAACUCCGAGUGUAGAGGUGAAAUUCGUAGAUAUUCGGAAGAACACCAGUGGCGAAGGCGGCUUACUGGCCCAUUACUGACGCUGAGGCUCGAAAGCGUGGGGAGCAAACAGGAUUAGAUACCCCUGUAGUCCCUGUCUCUUAUAC